UAACUACUCCCUCCGUUCCAAAUUACUCGUCGCAGAAAUUGAUGUAUCUAAAACUAAAAUACACCUAGAUAUAUCCAUUUCUGCGACGAGUAAUUCAGAACGGAGGAAGUAGACA
Molecule: non-coding RNA, 115 nt
Organism: Triticum aestivum (bread wheat)
Lineage: Eukaryota; Viridiplantae; Streptophyta; Magnoliopsida; Poales; Poaceae
Source: Rfam